GUAGGGGGCAAGCGUUGUCCGGAUUUAUUGGGCGUAAAGCGCGUGUAGGCGGCUAUGCAGGUCCGCUGUGAAAACUCGAGGCUCAACCUCGAGACGUCGGUGGAAACCGCAUGGCUAGAGUCCGGAAGAGGAGAGUGGAAUUCCCGGUGUAGCGGUGAAAUGCGCAGAUAUCGGGAAGAACACCCGUGGCGAAGGCGGCUCUCUGGGACGGUACUGACGCUGAGACGCGAAAGCGUGGGGAGCGAACAGGAUUAGAUACCCUGGUAGUCCACGCCGUAAACGAUGGGUGCUAGGUGUGGGAGGUGUCGACUCCUUCCGUGCCGCAGCUAACGCAUUAAGCACCCCGCCUGGGGAGUACGGCCGCAAGGCUAAA
RNAcentral lists this ribosomal RNA (373 nucleotides) under uncultured bacterium. RNAcentral describes it as "bacterial SSU rRNA". It matches the Rfam family "Bacterial small subunit ribosomal RNA", at positions 527 to 898 of the family's 1533-position model. The record is from RNAcentral.